Cygnus olor (mute swan) is the source of this 2113-nucleotide long non-coding RNA. RefSeq lists it as uncharacterized. The transcript has 5 exons. NCBI's taxonomy places the organism in Eukaryota, Metazoa, Chordata, Aves, Anseriformes, Anatidae. The record is from RefSeq and is a predicted model, not a curated record.
CUCUCCUGUGGGACACGAAGUAACUUCUGAUUUCUAAAACAAAAUAGAAAUUAUAUGGGAGAAGAAUAUUGUAAACUGAAUGGAAGCUGAGAGCCGGGGCAUACUGAGUGAAAGAAAAUCAAUCACAAUUCUGUAUUUUCCUUCAAGGUUUAUGAAAUGAGCGUUUUAACUCCCAUGGACAUUUUAGCUCCUGCUCACCUAAAAAUGUUUGAGAGUCUCCACUUGUCCCUUGCUGUUGCAGCGUUGAAGCUUUACGCACGCACACCUACACGUGUUUGUUCAGACACUGGCUUCUCUUCCAGCAGCCUGUGUGGAGAAUUUAUACCCCACUAUUAAAUUAUUCACAGUUCUAAAAGAUAAUGCAGGAAAAAACAGCCCUGUUAGUUAGAGAUGCCUGAAAUGUACUAGUAGUUUAGCUGGGAAGUACAGCGCCAGGCACGUGAGCCCCAGUUUUUCCGUCAGCGCUGCCUUCUCAUCCUUCACUGUUUGCUCCAGUGUCAUCCUCAUUGUUCACCAUUCAGCCUUUCCGAAGGCUGCCAACAAAACAGCUGAAUCAAGAACCUGAGGCUGAAGUGAGAGGAUGAAUUCCAGCUCCGCCGUCCGAGCCGGCCCCCGGUGCUUGAGGUUUGGAAGACUGAAAAUUAAUGAGGCUCUCAGUCAGCUGCCUGCCUGACCUGUCACACAAGGAGAGCCUGACAUGCUUUCUGUAAUUCCUCCUAGGAUGGAAAUGGGCGUUCUUCGUAUUUGCUUUCUCAGUACUUCCUUCAUCAACUAAUCUUUGAAGGUUUGGAGAAGUCAGAAGGUGGGGCUGGACGUUUGCUGGCCUAGAGUCUCUUCCAGAUGCUGCCACUGGCUUGCCAUGCACAACUACAGACACUUUUCUUCUCAUACGAGAACAGCAGGGGUUGAAGAUGGAAGUGAGCCGUGGCUGUUAUCUGGUGGUUUGCAAUCUGCACGUGACAAGCCAGGAGCUUGAUAGGAAAGUGUGAAGUCCUGCAUCAGAGGUUCCUGAGAUGGCAGUGAUACCACUGACCAUGUGCUCGUGUCCGUUCUCAGAGGAAAACUCUCAGCCUGGCCAUCUGGCAUGAUGUUGGAGGAAGUAGCUUCUACAUUAGGGAUGCUGAAGGCUUACAUGUUCAUCUCUGUGUUCUUGUUAGAUCAGGCUAUUUGGGUGUGGAUUUUAUUUUAUUUUGAAGAGAAUAGGAGACGAAUGCAGACCAGAAAAUUCAGGAAAGAUGAUUGAAAGGAUAGAGGAAGGAGGUUUUGCCUUUGGCAACCAGAUUCCCCUCAACCAUUCCUGGAAAACAUUCCUUUCAGCUCCCAAGUUAUUCAUGGCAAAGGGAAGUGAAUGACCAUGAAGAACUGCAGACAGUCCUUAUGAGAUGAAGUAGGCAUUAAAACAGCAAAUGCAAUUCAAUGUAAAUAAAUACGAAGUGAUGCAUGCGAGGAAAAAAACAAUCCUAGUGCCACACAAAAUGCUGUGCUCCGAGCUGCUGGCUAUUGCUGAGGAAUGAGUUGUUGAAGCUAUCACAGAUACAUCUGUGAAAAUGUCAAAUCAGCACUCAACAGUAGCCAAAAAAAGGAAUCCAAAUGCUAGAAAGUGAUGGGAAAGGAACAGACAGCAAAGUGGAGAAGUGUUGUUAUGACAGUGUGCAAGUCUGCGGCCUCCCGUGCUGUAAAUACUGUGCAGUCCUGCUGCCUGAAAAGGACGUAACAGAACUGGAAAUGAACCAGCAAGUGACACCAGCAAUAGAUAAAGGCAUGGCACUGCUUCUGCAUGAGAAAUGACAGAGCUUCUGCAUGCUCCACAGCAGGCCUGUGCCAACGCCACGCUCCUUCUGGAGGCCUCGCUCCUUCUGGAGGCUGCUCUGCUGCGUCUCGCACACCAUUAGUGGUCAGCUGAGAGGUGGCUGGUCUGUGCCAAGACCUGCUUUAGGGAACCAACGAGGCACACUGAGUUUCUAAGAAAAUUACAUUCCUCAUGCCUGAUAAUCAGCAACAAAGACGACACGCUAGAGGAGUCUCCCACCGAAUGACCCAUGGUUGUCUUCAGAAAAUUCAAGGCCUGAUGAUGUGUUUAAGACUUCAACGCAGGACCUCUGAUAUCCCAAGG